RNAcentral lists this ribosomal RNA (254 nucleotides) under uncultured Singulisphaera sp. Its description in RNAcentral is "partial 16S ribosomal RNA". It matches the Rfam family "Bacterial small subunit ribosomal RNA", at positions 524 to 776 of the family's 1533-position model. The record is from RNAcentral. Lineage: Bacteria; Pseudomonadati; Planctomycetota; Planctomycetia; Isosphaerales; Isosphaeraceae.
GACGAACCGUGCGAACGUUAUUCGGAAUCACUGGGCUUAAAGCGCGUGUAGGCGGAUCGGAACGUCGGAACCUGAAAGCCCCCGGCUCAACCGGGGAACGAGGGCCGAAACGACCGAUCUCGAGGGACGUAGGGGGAUCUGGAACUUCCGGUGGAGCGGUGAAAUGCGUUGAGAUCGGAAGGAACGCCCGUGGCGAAAGCGAGAUCCUGGACGUCUACUGACGCUGAGACGCGAAAGCUAGGGGAGCGAACGGG